UACGUAGGGCGCGAGCGUUGUCCGGAAUCAUUGGGCGUAAAGAGCGUGUAGGCGGUCCGGUAAGUCCGCUGUGAAAGUCGGGGGCUCAACCCUCGAAUGCCGGUGGAUACUGUCGGGCUAGAGUGCGGAAGAGGCGAGUGGAAUUCCUGGUGUAGCGGUGAAAUGCGCAGAUAUCAGGAGGAACACCUAUUGCGAAGGCAGCUCGCUGGGACGUAACUGACGCUGAGACGCGAAAGCGUGGGGAGCAAACAGG
Molecule: ribosomal RNA, 253 nt
Filed under: uncultured bacterium
Lineage: Bacteria
Description: partial 16S ribosomal RNA
Rfam family: Bacterial small subunit ribosomal RNA
Source: RNAcentral